GGUAAUGGGAAGUAAAUGAAAAGAAAGUCAUGAGACUAAUUCUUCAUACUGGAAAAAUACCUGAUGAGUGGCAAAAGAGCACAUUGGUCCCUGUCUUCAAGCUUAAAGGAGAUGUGCCAGAAUGUAGUAAAAUAUUUCGCCUUUUACUGACCCAUCAAGUUAAUGAGUAACAUGUUGAAAUGACUGGAAAGAAUUAUUGAGAAAAGACUUUGAGAGGAGCUGAAAAUCAAGUAUGCCACAACAACCAAUUUGGGUUUAUUCCAGGAAGGUCAGUAAUACAGUGUUUGCAGCCUGAACAUUGCAGGAGAAGUACAGGGAAAAACCACAAGGAAUUGCAAUUAGUGUUUGUGGAUUUGGAGAAGAUUUAGGACAGCGUUCCUAGAUAAACAUAAUGGUGGUGCCUGCAGUCAUGCAACAUGCCAGAGAUAUGUGGUCAAGCUAUCAUGGAGGGACCGUAGUAGUAGUGAGAACCAGCUAGUGGCUACAGUGAGUCACUCACUGUCAGAGUAUGUCUACAUCAACCAUCAGUCUUAAGUUCUUUCCUAUUUGUAGCUGUAAUGGAUACCCUGACUCAGGAGAUUAGGGAAGAGGGUCCAUGAAGCAUGUGUUUCACUGAUGACAUUUUAUGCCAUGAAGAGAAACAGAACCUGGAAAGUAACCUAGAAGAAUGGAGACCUGCAUUAAAAGAAAAUGGCUUACAAAUCACUCAACAAAAGAUGGAAAACAUACAAUGCUUCAGUGAGAGAAAGUGAGUUAAACACAGCUAUUGGGCCAAAAACUUCUGCUGAAAGGACCUACGGGGAUUAAUGUUGACUGAAAAUGAGAAGAUCAACAGCACAUGAAUCUAGGCUGAUGUACGAGUAUUAUGAAAGGGAAUGCUGACAUAACUCUGAAAG
This is a long non-coding RNA of Mauremys reevesii (Reeves's turtle), 896 nucleotides long. RefSeq lists it as uncharacterized. The transcript is spliced from 3 exons. The record is from RefSeq and is a predicted model, not a curated record. Lineage: Eukaryota; Metazoa; Chordata; Testudines; Geoemydidae.